This 495-nucleotide ribosomal RNA is filed under the name uncultured bacterium. RNAcentral's name for it is "partial 16S ribosomal RNA". It matches the Rfam family "Bacterial small subunit ribosomal RNA", at positions 28 to 507 of the family's 1533-position model. The record is from RNAcentral.
GACGAACGCUGGCGGCGUGCCUAAUACAUGCAAGUAGAACGCUGAAGGAGGAGCUUGCUUCUCUGGAUGAGUUGCGAACGGGUGAGUAACGCGUAGGUAACCUGCCUGGGAGCGUGGGAUAACUAUUGGAAACGAUAGCUAAUACCGCAUAAUAGUAGAUGUUGCAUGACAUUUGCUUAAAAGGUGCAAUUGCAUCACUACCAGAUGGACCUGCGUUGUAUUAGCUAGUUGGUGGGGUAACGGCUCACCAAGGCGACGAUGCAUCGCCGAACGGCGAGGGUGAUUGGCCACACUGGGACGGAGACACGGCCCAGACUGCUACGGGAGGCAGCAGUAGGGAAUCUUCGGCAAUGGACGGAAGUCUGACCGAGCAACGCCGCGUGAGUGAAGAAGGUUGUCGGAUCGUAAAGGUCUGUUGUAAGAGAAGAAAGAGUGUGAGAGUGGAAAGUUCACACUGUGACGGUAUCUUAUCAGAAAGGGACGGCUAACUACGUG